GGAUGUGAGGCCAAUCUAGCUUCUAUAUCUUUUCCAACUUAUCGGUCACCAGGGUUGGCUCAGCUGAGCUGGCCAGCGAGGUGGGUGUCCCUUUCCCACCUAAGGACUCCUCGUGUGGCCCUCCUGAGGCAGCACACUUGGUGGAAGAGAAGGACAGCGGUUUGGCCAAGGAUGCACACAGUGGUGCUAGAACCUGCUAGAACCUCCAAACACACGGACAGGCUCUCCCCAGCAGAAGGUGUGGGAGGCCCCAGCCUGUCUGGGCUUACU
RNAcentral lists this small nuclear RNA (270 nucleotides) under Octodon degus (degu). Its description in RNAcentral is "7SK RNA (ENSODEG00000024549.1)". It matches the Rfam family "7SK RNA", at positions 1 to 287 of the family's 331-position model. Rfam says of the family: 7SK was discovered as an abundant small nuclear RNA in the mid-70s but a possible function has only recently been suggested. Two independent studies have found that 7SK RNA binds the CDK9/cyclin T complex (known as elongation factor P-TEFb). P-TEFb activates transcription by phosphorylating the C-terminal domain of RNA polymerase II. The record is from RNAcentral. Lineage: Eukaryota; Metazoa; Chordata; Mammalia; Rodentia; Octodontidae.